GCCGGAAAGCUCAGUUGGGAGAGCGUUAGACUGAAGUUGUUUACGCAACAGUCAUCUAAAGGCCCCCGAUUCAAUUCCGGGUUUCGGCA
This 89-nucleotide transfer RNA is filed under the name Dreissena polymorpha. It matches the Rfam family "tRNA". From Rfam's summary of the family: Transfer RNA (tRNA) molecules are approximately 80 nucleotides in length. Their secondary structure includes four short double-helical elements and three loops (D, anti-codon, and T loops). Further hydrogen bonds mediate the characteristic L-shaped molecular structure. tRNAs have two regions of fundamental functional importance: the anti-codon, which is responsible for specific mRNA codon recognition, and the 3' end, to which the tRNAs corresponding amino acid is attached (by aminoacyl-tRNA synthetases). tRNAs cope with the degeneracy of the genetic code in two manners: having more than one tRNA (with a specific anti-codon) for a particular amino acid; and 'wobble' base-pairing, i.e. permitting non-standard base-pairing at the 3rd anti-codon position. Lineage: Eukaryota; Metazoa; Mollusca; Bivalvia; Myida; Dreissenidae. The record is from Rfam by way of RNAcentral.